CAAUAGCGUAUAUUAAAGUUGUUGCAGUUAAAAAGCUCGUAGUUGGAUUUGUGGUGUACUUUGGCGGCCCGUCACUAUGUGAUGGAGCUUGCUGAAGUCGCCAUCCUUGGGUGGAUCCUGUGUGGCAUUAAGUUGUCGUGCAGGGGAUGCCCAUCGUUUACUGUGAAAAAAUUAGAGUGUUCAAAGCAGGCUUAUGCCGUUGAAUAUAUUAGCAUGGAAUAAUAAGAUAGGACCUUGGUACUAUUUUGUUGGUUUGCGCACCAAGGUAAUGAUUAAUAGGGACAGUUGGGGGUAUUCGUAUUUCAUUGUCAGAGGUGAAAUUCUUGGAUUUUUGAAAGACAAACUACUGCGAAAGCAUUUACCAAGGAUGUUUUCAUUAA
RNAcentral lists this ribosomal RNA (380 nucleotides) under uncultured eukaryote. RNAcentral describes it as "partial 18S ribosomal RNA". It matches the Rfam family "Eukaryotic small subunit ribosomal RNA", at positions 592 to 976 of the family's 1831-position model. The record is from RNAcentral.